CUGAAAUUAUAGAAGGGGUGAAGAGGCAUCUUUUUGGUAAUUUAUCAUAAUGUUUAGUAACAGCAAUUUGCAGUAAUGAAAUAACUAAUCUUUACUUCUCCUGGGUAUGUGUUAUAUUUUUUGGCUUAUGCUUUACUUACUUUUUUUUAUUACUCCAUUUCCUAAAUUAUUUAAACUUACAAGGCAAACUCUAACUUAUUAAUGGUAAGGCAGGCUUCGGAAAUGAGAAUCAUGCAAAUAAUGAUUUCAUUUUUUACCCGUGUUUUUAAGGGACUGAGAUACCUUUGUCAUUUACCUGGGAUUUACAGGGACCAAAAAGCUGGACAUCAUUCACCACCGGGAACAGCACCAUGCAGUCCCUGUUUGAGGACAGUGGGACCCAGGAGCGGCUCCUCUCACCUGGAGUGCUGCUGAGGAAGGAUGAUGACAUCGCUGACUCCGUUUUUCCUUUUUCAGGCAGGUGUCCGUUUGUUCAUUUUGAAACUGAGUCCCAGGGAAAACACCUAGCUGUUCACAUUCUUCAAAACAACAACAAACCAGCACUUUUGUAAAUGGUUUUAAUUUUGACAAAAGAAGGCCUUUUUCUAAGGUGACGUGAACGGGGGAAAUUACCUCAAAUUUAUGACAUUAUUUUCUAGCAUCC
Molecule: long non-coding RNA, 643 nt
Filed under: Pan paniscus (pygmy chimpanzee)
Lineage: Eukaryota; Metazoa; Chordata; Mammalia; Primates; Hominidae
Description: lncRNA (ENSPPAG00000044974.1)
Source: RNAcentral